This 654-nucleotide ribosomal RNA is filed under the name Triticum aestivum (bread wheat). RNAcentral's name for it is "partial small subunit ribosomal RNA". The record is from RNAcentral. Lineage: Eukaryota; Viridiplantae; Streptophyta; Magnoliopsida; Poales; Poaceae.
AUGUCCAGUUCUUGGGAAAGGCAAUUCCCUUUGACUUUUGUCAGGAAACUAACUAAAGAGAUUUCAGAUCAUAGCCCUUUGAUCUCGAAUACGGAGGACUUUAUUCCUAACACAAGUCAUAAGAGAGAAUUCAGAUUUGAUCUUAAUUGGCUCAAAAAUCCUGAGUUUAUUCCCUUAGUUGCUAAGGUGUGGAUGAAACCUGUAAAUGCAAAUGAUCCCAUUGAUGUAUUAAAUAUCAAAAUGAAGAGAUUCAAGAAAUGUUUCAAAGGAUGGGGAUCUAACCUGUUUGGGAAAUCUAGAAAGAGAAGGAGAGAUCUUAGAGAGGAGCUUGAAUAUCUAGAAAAACUAGAAGAAACUGAUGUGCUUUCCCCUGAAUUAUACUGCAAGAAAGUUGAUAUUUUGGUGGAAUUAUAUAAUCUACUGGUGGAAGAGGAGAUUGCAUGGAUGCAAAAGUACCAUGAAAAUUGGUUGUUGAAAGGGGAUAGAAAUACUGAUUACUUUCACAGAAUAGUAAACGGUAGAAGAAGGAGAAAUACUAUUUCCUCACUUAGUUGUGGAGAUGAGAUGAUAGAGGGGACUAAAAACCUGUUAAAACAUGCAACUGAGUUCUAUAAAGACCUUUUUGGACCUGGAGCUAGAAAUCUAUGCAAGUGA